RNAcentral lists this ribosomal RNA (234 nucleotides) under uncultured bacterium. RNAcentral describes it as "partial 16S ribosomal RNA". It matches the Rfam family "Bacterial small subunit ribosomal RNA", at positions 253 to 504 of the family's 1533-position model. The record is from RNAcentral.
UGUGGUAAAGGCAUACCAAGGCAACGAUCAGUAGCCGGACUGAGAGGUUGAACGGCCACAUUGGGACUGAGAUACGGCCCAGACUCCUACGGGAGGCAGCAGUGGGGGAUAUUGCACAAUGGGGGAAACCCUGAUGCAGCGACGCCGCGUGAAGGAAGAAGGCCUUCGGGUUGUAAACUUCUGUCGUACGGGACGAUAAUGACGGUACCGUACAAGAAAGCCACGGCUAACUAC